CCAAAACACAAUUUGUAUUUCAGAAUAUUCUAAAAUAUAAAUUUUAAAAUAUAAAUGUUGUAUUAUGAAUUGUACAUCUUAAAAUACAAAAUAAAAAUAUAUUCUGAAUGUGUUUUUAACAGAGCACCAACCGAUGAAGAAAGGGGAGAGGGUGCAUCAAUGCUAGGAGAGGAAGAAGAAAGGGGAAGAAGGGGGGCCGAUGGAAGAAGAAAGAGGUGGAGAAAAGAAAGUAAGGGUAAAUAAGUAGUUUCAUAUGUUUAUGGUGGUGCAGAAUGAAAUACAUGGGGUACAAAAAGAGAUUUCCGCUACGCAGUAGCAACGUCGGUAGCCCGAGCAGCAGAUUUUAAAUCUUGGUCCAGUGGUAAUGUUUGGGCCCUAAAUACUAACCAGGGCUAAGGUAUGUUGCCCUCCAAAGGAAUUUUGCAAU
This 427-nucleotide long non-coding RNA is filed under the name Vigna radiata. Its description in RNAcentral is "long non-coding RNA (VRAD_LNC010680)". The record is from RNAcentral. Lineage: Eukaryota; Viridiplantae; Streptophyta; Magnoliopsida; Fabales; Fabaceae.